AGCGAACGCUGGCGGCAGGCCUAACACAUGCAAGUCGAACGAACUCUUCGGAGUUAGUGGCGGACGGGUGAGUAACACGUGGGAACGUGCCCUUUGGUUCGGAAUAACUCAGGGAAACUUGAGCUAAUACCGGAUAAGCCCUUACGGGGAAAGAUUUAUUGCCAUUGGAGCGGCCCGCGUCGGAUUAGCUAGUUGGUGAGGUAAUGGCUCACCAAGGCGACGAUCCGUAGCUGGUCUGAGAGGAUGACCAGCCUCACUGGGACUGAGACACGGCCCAGACUCCUACGGGAGGCAGCAGUGGGGAAUAUUGGACAAUGGGCGCAAGCCUGAUCCAGCCAUGCCGCGUGGAUGAUGAAGGCCCUAGGGUUGUAAAGUCCUUUUAACGGGGAAGAUAAUGACGGUACCCGUAGAAUAAGCCCCGGCUAACUUCGUGCCAGCCGCCGCAGUAA
RNAcentral lists this ribosomal RNA (449 nucleotides) under uncultured bacterium. RNAcentral's name for it is "partial 16S ribosomal RNA". It matches the Rfam family "Bacterial small subunit ribosomal RNA", at positions 29 to 523 of the family's 1533-position model. The record is from RNAcentral.